GAUGAACGCUGGCGGCGUGCUUAACACAUGCAAGUCGAACGGAAAGGCUCCUGCUUGCAGGGGUACUCGAGUGGCGAACGGGUGAGUAACACGUGGGUGAUCUGCCCAGCACUUCGGGAUAAGCCUGGGAAACUGGGUCUAAUACCGGAUAGGACGAUGGUUUGGAUGCCAUUGUGGAAAGUUUUUUCGGUGUGGGAUGAGCUCGCGGCCUAUCAGCUUGUUGGUGGGGUAAUGGCCUACCAAGGCGUCGACGGGUAGCCGGCCUGAGAGGGUGUACGGCCACAUUGGGGCUGAGAUACGGCCCAGACUCCUACGGGAGGCAGCAGUGGGGAAUAUUGCACAAUGGGCGCAAGCCUGAUGCAGCGACGCCGCGUGGGGGAUGACGGCCUUCGGGUUGUAAACUCCUUUCGCUAGGGACGAAGCGCAAGUGACGGUACCUUGAGAAGAAGCACCGGCUAACUACGUG
Molecule: ribosomal RNA, 466 nt
Filed under: uncultured bacterium
Lineage: Bacteria
Description: partial 16S ribosomal RNA
Rfam family: Bacterial small subunit ribosomal RNA
Source: RNAcentral